This 107-nucleotide ribosomal RNA is filed under the name uncultured bacterium. RNAcentral's name for it is "partial 16S ribosomal RNA". It matches the Rfam family "Bacterial small subunit ribosomal RNA", at positions 1379 to 1482 of the family's 1533-position model. The record is from RNAcentral.
CCUUGUACACACCGCCCGUCACACCAUGGGAGUCGGUUUCUCCAGAAGUGCCUGAGCCAACCCGCAAGGGGGGGCAGGGUCCCAAGGAGCAGUCGGUAACUGGGGUG